UACGCAGGAUGCAAGCGUUGUCCGGAUUUACUGGGCGUAAAGGGCGCGCAGGCGGCAAUGUAAGUGUCACGUGAAAGCCCCCGGCCUAACCGGGGAGGGUCGUGGGAGACUGCAUAGCUAGAGUACAGCAGAGGAUAGCGGAAUUCCCGGUGUAGUGGUGAAAUGCGUAGAUAUCGGGAGGAACACCAGUGGCGAAAGCGGCUAUCUGGGCUGAAACCGACGCUGAGGCGCGAAGGCUAGGGUAGCAAACAGG
RNAcentral lists this ribosomal RNA (253 nucleotides) under uncultured bacterium. Its description in RNAcentral is "partial 16S ribosomal RNA". It matches the Rfam family "Bacterial small subunit ribosomal RNA", at positions 524 to 776 of the family's 1533-position model. The record is from RNAcentral.